GACAGAGGGUGCAAACGUUGCUCGGAAUUACUGGGCGUAAAGCCGCGUGUAGGCGGUUCCGCAAGUCAGGUGUGAAAGCCCAGGGCUCAACCCUGGAAGUGCACUUGAUACUACGGAGCUUGAGUACUGAAGAGGAGAGCGGAAUUCCCGGUGUAGAGGUGAAAUUCGUAGAUAUCGGGAGGAACACCAGUGGCGAAGGCGGUCUCCUGGGG
This 212-nucleotide ribosomal RNA is filed under the name uncultured bacterium. Its description in RNAcentral is "partial 16S ribosomal RNA". It matches the Rfam family "Bacterial small subunit ribosomal RNA", at positions 524 to 735 of the family's 1533-position model. The record is from RNAcentral.